UACGUAGGGAGCAAGCGUUGUCCGGAAUCAUUGGGCGUAAAGCGCGUGUAGGCUGUCUAUUAAGUCGGGUGUGAAAUCCCUGGGCUCAACCGAGGAAGUGCAUUCGAAACUGAUAGACUAGAAGAUGGUAGAGGAAGGUGGAAUUCCAAGUGUAGAGGUGAAAUGCGCAGAUAUCGGGAGGAACACCAAUGGCGAAGGCAGCUCGCUGGGACGUUACUGACGCUGAGACGCGAAAGCGUGGGGAGCAAACAGG
This 253-nucleotide ribosomal RNA is filed under the name uncultured bacterium. RNAcentral's name for it is "partial 16S ribosomal RNA". It matches the Rfam family "Bacterial small subunit ribosomal RNA", at positions 524 to 776 of the family's 1533-position model. The record is from RNAcentral.